Carlito syrichta (Philippine tarsier) is the source of this 1235-nucleotide RNA transcript. It is a transcript of the gene named microtubule-associated protein RP/EB family member 1 pseudogene, with no coding region annotated. The transcript has a single exon. NCBI's taxonomy places the organism in Eukaryota, Metazoa, Chordata, Mammalia, Primates, Tarsiidae. The record is from RefSeq and is a predicted model, not a curated record.
UUUCAGUUGGUUUGAACAAGAGGAAGAUGGAACCAGAGUCAGUGUGGGCAGUGGACAUGGUUCCGCCGAGAGCCGAAGAUGGCAGUGAACGUAUAUUCAACGUCAGUCAUCAGUGAUAACCUAAGACGACAUGACAUGCUGGCCUGGAUCAAUGAGUCUCUGCAGUUGAACCUAACAAAGAUUGAACAGUUGUGCUCAUGAGCUGCCUAUUGUCAGUUUAUGGACAUGCUGUUCCCUGGCUCUAUUGCCUUGAAGAAAGUGAAAUUCCAAGCUAAGCUAGAACAUGAGUACAUGCAGAACUUCAAGAUACUUCAAGCAGGUUUUAAGAGAAUGGGUGUUGACAAAAUAAUUCCUGUGGAUAAAUUAGUAAAAGGAAAAUUUCAGGACAAUUUUCAAUUUGUUCAGUGGUUCUAAGAAGUUUUUUGAUGCAAACUAUGAUGGAAAAGACUAUGACACUGUGGCUGCCGGACAAGGUCAAGAAACUGCAGUGGCUCCCUCCCUUGUUGCUCCAGCACCGAAUAAACCGAAGAAACCUCUCAGCUCUAGCAGUGCAGCUCCCCAGAGGCCCAUUUCAGUAGUACAGAGGACUACUGCAGCUACUAAGGCUGGCCCUGGGGUAGUGCGAAAGAAUCCUGGUGUAGACAACGGGGAUGAUGAGGCCACUGAGUUGAUGCAGCAGGUCAGCGUAUUGAAACUUACUGUCGAAGACUUGGAGAAAGAGAGAGAAUUCUACUUUGGAAAGCUAAGGAACAUUGAAUUGAUUUGCCAGGAGAACAAGGGGGAAAACGACCCUUUAUUGCAGAGGACUGUAGACAUUCUCUAUGCCACAGACAAAGGCUUUGUGAUACCUGAUGAAGGGGGCCCACAGGAAGAGCAGGAAGAGUAUUAACAGCCCAGACCAGAAGAGGAACAUCUGAAUUCUUCACUCCAAAUCAUGUGCUUAACUGUAAAAUACUCCCUUUUAUUCUUAGAGGACUCACUGGUUUCUUUUCAUAAGCAAAAAGUACCUCUUCUUAAAGUGCACUUUGCAGAAGUUUCACUCCUUUUCUGAUAAGUUUGAGUUAGGAGCUUUUUACCUUGUAGCAGAGCAGUAUUAACAUCUAGUUGGCUCACCUGAGAAACAGAGAGGCUCACCGUGGGGCUUACCGUUGUGGAUGCAGGAGAAGGCGUUAUGAAAACGCUGAGGUGGUAACCUCAGGAGAGAAGUGUAAAGACUGAAUUGAAUUUUAAGCUAG